RNAcentral lists this ribosomal RNA (491 nucleotides) under uncultured bacterium. RNAcentral describes it as "partial 16S ribosomal RNA". It matches the Rfam family "Bacterial small subunit ribosomal RNA", at positions 29 to 507 of the family's 1533-position model. The record is from RNAcentral.
AGUGAACGCUGGCGGUAGGCCUAACACAUGCAAGUCGAACGGCAGCACAGUAAGAGCUUGCUCUUACGGGUGGCGAGUGGCGGACGGGUGAGGAAUACAUCGGAAUCUACUUUUUCGUGGGGGAUAACGUAGGGAAACUUACGCUAUACCGCAUAAGACCUACGGGUGAAAGCCGGGGAUCUUCGGACCUUGCGCGGUUGGAUGAGCCGAUGUCGGAUUAGCUAGUUGGCGGGGUAAAGGCCCACCAAGGCGACGAUCCGUAGCUGGUCUGAGAGGAUGAUCAGCCACACUGGAACUGAGACACGGUCCAGACUCCUACGGGAGGCAGCAGUGGGGAAUAUUGGACAAUGGGCGCAAGCCUGAUCCAGCCAUACCGCGUGGGUGAAGAAGGCCUUCGGGUUGUAAAGCCCUUUUGUUGGGAAAGAAAAGCAGCAGGUUAAUACCCCGCUGUUCUGACGGUACCCAAAGAAUAAGCACCGGCUAACUUCGUG